This 799-nucleotide ribosomal RNA is filed under the name uncultured bacterium. Its description in RNAcentral is "bacterial SSU rRNA". It matches the Rfam family "Bacterial small subunit ribosomal RNA", at positions 56 to 825 of the family's 1533-position model. The record is from RNAcentral.
AGCGAGUCUGCCUUGAAGAUAGAGUGCUUGCACUCUGUGAAACAAGAUACAGGCUAGCGGCGGACGGGUGAGUAACACGUGGGUAACCUGCCCAAGAGAUCGGGAUAACACCUGGAAACAGAUGCUAAUACCGGAUAACAACAGAUGAUGCCUAUCAACUGUUUAAAAGAUGGUUCUGCUAUCACUCUUGGAUGGACCUGCGGUGCAUUAGCUAGUUGGUAGGGUAACGGCCUACCAAGGCGAUGAUGCAUAGCCGAGUUGAGAGACUGAUCGGCCACAUUGGGACUGAGACACGGCCCAAACUCCUACGGGAGGCAGCAGUAGGGAAUCUUCCACAAUGGACGCAAGUCUGAUGGAGCAACGCCGCGUGAGUGAAGAAGGGUUUCGGCUCGUAAAGCUCUGUUGUUGGUGAAGAAGGACAGGGGUAGUAACUGACCUUUGUUUGACGGUAAUCAAUUAGAAAGUCACGGCUAACUACGUGCCAGCAGCCGCGGUAAUACGUAGGUGGCGAGCGUUGUCCGGAUUUAUUGGGCGUAAAGCGAGUGCAGGCGGCUCGAUAAGUCUGAUGUGAAAGCCUUCGGCUCAACCGGAGAAUUGCAUCAGAAACUGUCGAGCUUGAGUACAGAAGAGGAGAGUGGAACUCCAUGUGUAGCGGUGAAAUGCGUAGAUAUAUGGAAGAACACCGGUGGCGAAGGCGGCUCUCUGGUCUGUUACUGACGCUGAGGCUCGAAAGCAUGGGUAGCGAACAGGAUUAGAUACCCUGGUAGUCCAUGCCGUAAACGAUGAGUGCUAAGUGUUG